UACAGAGGCCCCAAGCGUUACUGAGAAUCACUGGGUUUAAAGGGUGCGUAGGCGGCGCGUUAAGUCCGUUGUGAAAUCCCUUGGCUCAACCAAGGAAUGGCUUCGGAUACUGGCGUGCUUGAGGCCGGUAAGGGUCACUGGAACUGACGGUGGAGCGGUGAAAUGCGUAGAUAUCGUCAGGAACGCCAAUGGUGAAGACAGGUGACUGGGCCGGUUCUGACACUGAGGCACGAAAGCGUGGGGAGCGAACGGG
Molecule: ribosomal RNA, 253 nt
Filed under: uncultured bacterium
Lineage: Bacteria
Description: partial 16S ribosomal RNA
Rfam family: Bacterial small subunit ribosomal RNA
Source: RNAcentral